UAACAAGUGACGGACGAAGACGUUAGCAUCGGCGCGGUUAGCUUCGCAGCAGUUAGCUUCGCAGCAGUUAGCGCCCGGUUUCCUGUAAGGGGCGUUUGAGGAAGUCGGUGUCGGCCCAGCCCACAUGUCGAAGACUGCGCUUUCCAAGCAGUCGGUAGUUGUGGAAACGCGGAUGAUAUCGCUGCUCGGGACACAAUGUGAUGAAAUGACGCCGCCAUAAUGUUUGUCCUGCUCCUGUGUAUUCAACUCUUCGGCCAAGUGGCUGCACAACUAGACCCACCACAGAAUGUGACCCUAAUAACCUUGAACACCAAUUACACGCUGAGCUGGGACUGGCACCAGAAUCACACCGUGACUUUCACCACACAAUAUGUUGGGAAGCAUCAGCUGCUGCUCAAGAACAGGAGACCUAAGUGGUUGACGGCGUGUAAUGCGAUGCCACAUAGGUCAUGUGACCUCACAGGUUUCAAUCUUAACUACUGGUGCGUCUAUAUGCUUCGUGUCCGAGCCAGCAUGCAUGGACGUGACUCUGAGUGGGUGCUGAAGGAGUUUCUCCCUAAAAGGGACGCUGCUCUUGGUUCACCAACCAUCGUGAACCUUGUUCCUGCCAGAAGCGAUCUGGACGUUUUCAUUACGGACAGUGUGACCAGCAUCAGGAAGGUCAUUCCCACUCUGCAGUACCUGGUAGUUUACUGGGAGCGCUCGGCAGGCGCGCAGAACCAGACAUUGACCAGCAAUGCUAACAUUGUGACCUUGCCAAACCUAAAGGCCUGGACGUGGUACUGUGUAAGCGUCUGCUCCAGAGCUGAUGGCAAGAGCAGCAGCUUCACGUCGCCUCGGUGUAUGAAGACCCAAGGUAAUGUCCCGUGGUGGCAGAUCUUCCUCUACUUCCUAGCUGUUCUGGCCAUGUGCUCCUUGGGGCUGCUUUUACUUCACAGCUUCUUUCGAAUUUUUAAGACCAUCAAGGCAUCGUUCUACCCUUCAAACCAGCUGCCUCCUCAUCUCCAGAAAUACCUUAGUGACUCUCCUGGGUUUGACGUCCCUGGUCUCUUCAUCCCGGAUGCAGAAUCCGAACUACUUUGCGAGAGGGUGACAGUCUGUAAAAAUCCAACAUUCCUGAAAAUCUACAGCCCUCUGACUGAGGCCCUGCUGGUGUCCCCACCAGGCCUAGAAGAAGACAUCAGGUUCAUGAGUAAUAUCUGAAUUUGUCUGUGAUGUUGCCAUAGCCAAGCCAGAGAUGCAUUUCCGCACUGUACGCAGCGGAUACAGUCGUCAGGACAGCAGCUGCAGUGGGGACUCAGGAGUUUACUCAACCGGGGACAGCUCCAACCUGGAAAACCUUAAGGGAAAAGAAAGCAGUUGAACAAAGCUGAGGAAGUGUCUGACCUGAUCUGGAGAGAAUGGAUUAUGAAUAACAGGUGCAGGAGGCUGUUCCUGAGGUGCACCCACGACCCCUGCUACAACAAGCCUUUAGGUUUAUGGCUGGAUUGGUUCAGUGAUGGACAGAUAUGUUUAACAGAGCAUGAAUCAUGUUUAUUUUCCUUGUCUUCCUGUUUCAUUUAUGAUUCUUAAAGAAUCUAGGUUACAAUUUUUAAGUUCUGUUGGCACAAACAUUGUGUGUGAAUGGAACAAUUGAGCAAAUUGAGAAAUGUGGUUGUUUUUUCAAAUACAGUAUAUGAAGAAUUUUACAUUGAUGUCUUUUUAAUGUAUAUAGGACCUUUUCUCCAUCAUUGAGCCUUAAUGCUGGCGUUAAAGCUGUAGAGGCCACUUGUAUAAUAACCUGGCCUGUUAGAGUCUGCAUGUGCAGAGAUGGUUAAAACCAAGCAGGCCAGUUGUUCCAAAGUCAUUUUAUAUUUUGGCUUACUGUGGCAACAGGACAGUUUUCUGCUCCACCAUUGUUGUUGUUGCUAAGUGUACUCGCUCACUGGGCCGGCGCAUUGAUCACAGGCCUGGCUGAUGCUCAAAGGUCAAUUCUGGCUCAGGGGGUUUUGGCCAAAUGGGGUCCAACCAGCAAGAUUUAUUACAGAAAGGGAAAAACCAAAUAGUCAGAGACUUGUUCAGAAUUAACUUUAAAAAAGUCAAAUUUCUCAAAUACAAUUCCUAAUCCUAUUCAGAUUUAACCUUAUGUCUCGAUCCUAGAGUCUGUGGUACUAAACAAAAUCAAAUGGUUUGCUGAACUGCUUUCAUGUACUUCACAUCAAACACCUGUUCAUGUGUGGUAGCACAAACGCAAUGUUCUGAAUCGAUGAUGAAAGUGUGCAGCUGAUAUACUGUAGUAGCAAUUUUACUUUACCAAUCAUUGCUCCUUUUUGAGGUAAAACCUGUGAGUGAGUGAUAAAGUGGUGCCUCUCAAAUAAAUCUAACAUCUCUAACACAA
This is an RNA transcript of Betta splendens (Siamese fighting fish), 2377 nucleotides long. It is a transcript of the gene named interferon alpha/beta receptor 1a-like, with no coding region annotated. The transcript is spliced from 9 exons. Lineage: Eukaryota; Metazoa; Chordata; Actinopteri; Anabantiformes; Osphronemidae. The record is from RefSeq and is a predicted model, not a curated record.